This 255-nucleotide ribosomal RNA is filed under the name uncultured bacterium. RNAcentral's name for it is "partial 16S ribosomal RNA". It matches the Rfam family "Bacterial small subunit ribosomal RNA", at positions 524 to 776 of the family's 1533-position model. The record is from RNAcentral.
GACAGAGGGUGCAAACGUUGUUCGGAAUUACUGGGCGUAAAGCGAGUGUAGGCGGUCUCGUAAGUCGGGUGUGAAAGCCCUGGGCUCAACCCCAGGAAGUGCACUCGAAACUGCGAGGCUAGAGUACUGGAGAGGUUGGUGGAAUUCUCGGUGUAGAGGUGAAAUUCGUAGAUAUCGAGAGGAACAGCCGGUGGCGAAGGCGGCCAACUGGACAGAUACUGACGCUGAGACUCGAAAGCGUGGGGAGCAAACAGG